This is an RNA transcript of Halichondria panicea, 5194 nucleotides long. It is a transcript of the gene named receptor-type tyrosine-protein phosphatase alpha-like, with no coding region annotated. The transcript has 27 exons. The record is from RefSeq and is a predicted model, not a curated record. NCBI's taxonomy places the organism in Eukaryota, Metazoa, Porifera, Demospongiae, Suberitida, Halichondriidae.
GCUGGUCUGCUGAGUCGUAUCCAGGAGACAUUCAACUGCAUCGUGUGUCAGGAGGUGGUCUACCAGCCCGUCACUACCACCUGCAGCCACAACAUCUGUAAGCUCUACAAACUAUUACAGAAUGUUCCCCUCAAGGUUAUUUCUCUGCUGUCUGCUGGGAAUUGUUUCCCUAGUGUAUGGACAGACUUUGACUCGACCGGCAUCAGGCAAUGAGCCCCCUGGCACUAACCACACUGGAAAGAUCAUCUCGUUCUCUGAUGUUGGAUCAGGAGUUGGUACUGAUCCACGAGCCUGGUAUUGCUACACCGGAGUCACUGGUGGUGUAGUGUGGCAGUUCCCUAAUGGGAGUGCAUUGCCCAUAGUUUUUUACAGGGAUGCAAUUGGGGAUGAACUGUUCAUCAGUGCUGUUAGAAAUACUGCUGUUGUUCUGCAUCGUGGUCCCACACACUUCAGUCCUGAUGGAGAACACUGCUGUAGGAGGCCUAGCACAGGACUGAGCAGAUGUGUCACCUUCACUCCCUGCCCCACACUGAGUCCCCUCACUAAUGGAAGGAUCUCAUACAAUGCAACCACCAACAUGGCCACCUACAUCUGUAACACUGCUGGUUACGCACCAACCAUCACCAUGGCCAGUGGAUCAGUUCUGCAGAUAACUUGUAUGAGUGAUGGUACUAGUGCUGGUACCUGGUCUCCAUCACCACCUACAGCCUGUGCAUUUGUGUAUUGUGGCUCCCCACCCACCAUUGCCAAUGGCUCUCCUGGAGUACCAAUUGCAACCCCUGACGCAACCUCCGACAAAGGGACAGUGACCUACACCUGUGACAGUGGGUAUGAGGUCGUCGCCACAGCAAUGGCCACAUGUAUGGCUAAUAGGACCUGGGGACCUCCACCAACUUGUCAGCCUGUAAAUUGUGGGACACCUCCCUCUGUAACCAAUGCAUCUCCUGGAACACCCUCACCUGACACAACUCUCGGAGAGAAUGUGACCUACACCUGUGUCAGUGGGUAUGAGGUCUCCACUGGAGUCAUCACAGCAACAGCUACCUGUAUGGCUAGUGGGGUGUGGGGACCUCUACCAACUUGUUCACCUGUUGACUGUGGCUCCUUGGACGCCCCCUCCAAUGGAGCAGUGGACACAUCCUCUGGAACCACCUUCAUGAUGACUGCUACCUACACCUGUGACACUGGAUACAACAUUGUUGGAUCAAACACCACUCGGACUUGUGGGGCCACUGCACUAUGGACUCCAGAGGCCCCCACAUGUGCACCUGUUGACUGUGGUCCCCUCACUGUUCCUAAUGGGCAAGUUAGUACAUCCUCUGGAACCACCUUCAUGAAUACUGCCAUGUACACUUGUGAUCAUGGCUACACUCUCAAUGGAGCAUCAGAUAGAACCUGUCAAGUUAAUAGAACCUGUCAAGCUAAUAGAACCUGGAGCCUAACAGCACCUACCUGUGAUCCUGUUGACUGUGGUCCCCUAAAUAACACUCCCAAUGGACUAGUCAGUACAUCCUCUGGAACCACCUUCAUGAUGACUGCUACCUACACCUGUAACACUGGAUACAACAUCGUUGGUAGUGAGAGCAGAACUUGUGGAGCAAAUGGAACAAGUGGAGUGUGGUCAGGAGAACCUCCAGUGUGCAACUUCAUUCCUUUGAGCAGGGGAUCGAGUGCCAUUGUUAACAACUCUGCCUUAUCACUGGCGACCAUUGGAGAGGGUUCCUCUGCCCUCACCUGUCAUACUGAGCUCAUCACCUGCUGCAGAGGAGAGGACAACAACGGCAGUGCUCUUGGAGGGUGGAGAGGACCAAAUGGUGGCAGCAUUCCUGACUCGAAUACCAAUGGAUUCUACGUGUCACGAGGUAUAAGCUCCAUUAGUCUGAACCUUGUAGAGGGAUCCAGUGAAGUAGCUGGUACCUACUGUUGUCAAGUGCCCAGGGAGAGUGGGGCAACCACUACACAUUGUGUCAUGGUGACUGUCUCUGCUUCUCUCUCUAUUGCUGCUGUUGCUGGUGGGAUAGUCGGUGCUAUAGUGGUGGUGAUUCUAGUGAUCCUGCUCAUCAUAUUCCUAGUACUGUUCCUAAGACAAUCACGGAAGAAACAGUAUGAACCUGCUGUCAAAAACUCUGGUCUCUCUACUGUAUACAGCAAACACAGCGAUGCCAGUGAUGGGGGCGUGGCUACCAUAUCAAAAGACCACGAGCCUACCAUAACUGGCUUCCCAAGUGAGAGCAGAGCUAAUGAAGGGGAGGAGGUAGUCAUUAAGCCCAAGGUGGAAGGUCACCCUCCACCCAGUAUCACCUGGUACCACGAUGGUAGGAAGGUGACUGCAGACUAUGCCACAGAACUGGACCAGGACGGUGGAUUAUCCUUCCCUAGUGUAGAGACUAAGCAUGCUGGUGUGUAUAAGCUGGUGGCCAGUGGACCUUCUGUCAAAGCUGAGACAGAGCUCCAGUUGAUAGUGGUACCAGAGGGAGGGGAAGAAGAGGUGACAGAUGAGAUGGACCUCACUCCUAUACCAGUGGAUGGGUUUGGAGCAUAUGUCACUGAGCAGCAUGCUAAUGGCAAUAAGAAGUUUGCCAGCAACUAUUUGGGUCUCGGUGGUAAGGAAGGUGAACACUCAACAGCAAUUGCCAAACAGCACAAGGAGGAAAAUAGAUUUAGAAACAUUCUUGUGUAUGAUGACAACCUCAUUAUCCUAGACCCCAUCCCUGGACAAGAGGACUGUCAGAGUGACUACAUCAAUGCCUGCUAUGUAGACGGUUUUGUCAAGCGAAACAAGUUUAUUGCUUCUCAAGGACCACUACCCAAUACUCUGGUGGACUUCUGGCGCAUGAUGUGGCAGGAGAGACCACCCAUAAUAGUCAUGCUCACCAACCUCAUGGAGAACAACAAGAUUAAGUGUCAACAGUACUGGCCUGACAGUGGCAGUGUGAGCUAUGGCCCCUUCACAGUCACCAUCACAGACCAGCAGGUCCUGGCUGACUACACUGUCAGAAACCUACUACUUGCAAUGAAAGGUGUAAGUGGGAAACCUUUCAAGACCACUCAGUUUCACUUUACGACGUGGCCUGAUCACGGUGUGCCUGACUAUGCCACGCCCAUUCUUGGGUUUCAUCGUCGGGUCAAGUCCCAACACAAGCCAUCCAGAGGUCCUCUCCUGGUCCACUGCAGUGCUGGUGUGGGACGCACAGGCACUUACAUUGCCAUUGAUAAUGUCCUCGAUCAGAUCGCAGCCGAGGGUCUCGUCGAUAUUUCCGGAACAAUUGUCAAAUCUCGCAACCAGAGGAUGAAAAUGGUCCAAACCCAGGACCAAUAUGUGUUCAUCCACGAUGCUAUCCUGGAGUCAGUGACGUGUGGAGACACUCAGAUCUGUGCUGGAGAUCUGCGCAGACAGAUACAGAAGAUGUCAUCAGUGGCCCCAGGAAAAACCACAUCAGAAUUCCAAUACCAGUUCCAAAUUCUGGAACAGGUCUCUCCAAAUCCGAAUGAGGUCAACUGCAGUAGUGCAUUCAGACACAAGAACCUGAACAGGGGAAUACAGUACCUACCAAUUGAGAAUCACCGCGUGUUCCUGAAAGGGGAGGACCCUGGCCGUGACUACAUCAAUGCCGUCUUUGUCAAUGGCUACAAGCACCAGAAGGCAUACAUCAUUGCCCAGAAUCCACUGGACUCAACUGUGCGUAACUUCUGGAAGAUGAUCUAUGACAGGAAGUGUGCGGCUGUUGUGAUGUUGACUCCACUCAGUGAGAAUGGGAAGGAGGCAUGCUCCCAGUACUGGCCAGAGAGUGGCAAUGUCACCUCCUUCGGUGAGUUCACCAUUGAUAACUUGGGGGAGGAAGUCAACACUGGGUUCGUUAUGAGGCAACUGAGCGUACUUAACAAGAAGAUAAAAAAGCCUCUCCAAAUAAUUCAGAUUCAAAUUCUCGAUUGGAAAUCGACUGGUGCAUGUGCAAACUUCAAGAUUAUAACUGACGUCAAUGAGGAGGUUGUAAAGGUUCAAAGGAGAACUGGAAACAAGGCGAUUGUGGUCCACUGCAGUGACACUGCCACCCGCUCUGGUAUGUACUGCUCUGUAGCUACUACCAUUGACCGUUGCAAGACAGAGGGAGUGGUGGAUGUGUUCCAGGUGGUCAAGGCUCUCAGGGUCCACAAGCCAGGGGCAGUACCCUCAGUCGACAACUACAAGGAUGUUUUCGAGGCCUUGUUGGUCUACUUGGACUCCUUCGAUACUUAUGCAAACUUUCUCUAAAACUAAAAUGGAAACUAGAACUGGACGGCAGCUCAUUUUGGGAGGGAGAGCUUCUAAUAUAAUGUGCACAUGUUUAAAGUUAGAUGUAGGAUUUUAGUUUUUUGUGUAUUGCCACAAUGUCCUUUUAACUCAGUGUGAUGAAACAAUUUUGGGACGAUUUAGGUGAGAGUUGCCAAACUAAAAAUCGUAUACUAGAUUGUGUCUUUUGAGGCGGCCAGUCAUGUCAGUGCAUGGUUCAGAUCGUCUUGUGUGAUAAUAUUAUGUUACUGAUGGCUUGUCGUACAGCUGCAUAACAUUGCUGAUGAAUGCAGCUCAUGAUUGAGAAACCUUUUUUAAUAGCUAGUACUUGUACCCACUCCUUGCUUGCUUUUAUCUAUAGACCUAAACCUUUAUAAGAAGAAGCAUACACACAUGCAUCAUUGGAUCGAAUCAGUGGCCGUAAGUAGUUUACAGUUAUAAUUAAUAGAGCGAGUCCUUUCAGAUGGAAUGCUUAUAGAUCGAAUUAGUCUUUUUGUUGCAACUUCUCCCCCACAGGGCCCUUACUUGUACGUGUGACUGCCCCCUCAAUGACAAGACAAGACAAGGGGUACAGUGCUCGGAAGUGGACAAACAGCAAACCAGUGGAGUGGCACGGAACUACAUAGGAUGAAAGAGCUCAGAGUCCGCCCCAGAAGAGGGGAACAAGUACAAGGUGACCAAGUACUGACCAGAGAAGAACAAGAACGGAUUCAUUGUCUGGAAGUACCUGUUUAGGAGAGAUAAGUCUCAUGCUCCUUGGACUCGUGAGGGCAAGAAGGCCAUUAAGAAGCAGGGCCUCACCAUGGAGUAUCCUGAUGGCUACCUCGAGGCUCAGGCUGCCAAAAAACAGAGCAAAGAAGCAGAGGCUGAUGGUGGGGUGGGGUCAGAUGAGGAGGCAGCUAGCUAGACAAGGGGAAGAGCUAG